Molecule: ribosomal RNA, 1157 nt
Filed under: uncultured bacterium
Lineage: Bacteria
Description: bacterial SSU rRNA
Rfam family: Bacterial small subunit ribosomal RNA
Source: RNAcentral
AGGAUGAGUUCGCGUCUGAUUAGCUAGUUGGUGGUGUAACGGACCACCAAGGCGACGAUUGGUAGCCGAACUGAGAGGUUGAUCGGCCACAUUGGGACUGAGAUACGGCCCAGACUCCUACGGGAGGCAGCAGUGGGGAAUAUUGCGCAAUGGGGGAAACCCUGACGCAGCAACGCCGCGUGAAGGAUGAAGGUUUUCGGAUCGUAAACUUCUUUGAUGGGGGACGAAACAAAUGACGGUACCCCAAAAACAAGCCACGGCUAACUACGUGCCAGCAGCCGCGGUAAUACGUAGGUGGCGAGCGUUGUCCGGAAUUACUGGGUGUAAAGGGCGUGUAGGCGGGAAUGCAAGUCAGAUGUGAAAUGCCGAGGCUUAACCUCGGAGCUGCAUCUGAAACUGUGUUUCUUGAGUGUCGGAGAGGAAAGUGGAAUUCCUAGUGUAGCGGUGAAAUGCGUAGAUAUUAGGAGGAACACCAGUGGCGAAGGCGACUUUCUGGACUGUAACUGACGCUGAGGCGCGAAAGCGUGGGGAGCAAACAGGAUUAGAUACCCUGGUAGUCCACGCCGUAAACGAUGAUAACUAGCUGUCGGCGAUACACAGUCGGUGGCCAAGCGAAAGCGAUAAGUUAUCCACCUGGGGAGUACGACCGCAAGGUUGAAACUCAAAGGAAUUGACGGGGGCCCGCACAAGCGGAGGAACAUGUGGUUUAAUUCGAUGAUACGCGAGGAACCUUACCCGGGCUCGAACGGUGCAGGAAUAUGUCAGAGAUGUCAUACCAGCAAUAGUCUGUAUCGAGGUGCUGCAUGGUUGUCGUCAGCUCGUGCCGUGAGGUGUCGGCUUAAGUGCCAUAACGAGCGCAACCCUUGUCGUUAGUUACCAUCAAGUAAUGUUGGGGACUCUAGCGAGACUGCCACCGUAAGGUGUGAGGAAGGGGGGGAUGACGUCAAAUCAGCACGGCCCUUACGUCCGGGGCGACACACGUGUUACAAUGGCCGAUACAAAGGGCAGCUACUCCGCGAGGAGAUGCUAAUCUCUAAAGUCUAUCUCAGUUCGGAUUGGAGUCUGCAACUCGACUCCAUGAAGUUGGAUUCGCUAGUAAUCGCGCAUCAGCCAUGGCGCGGUGAAUACGUUCCCGGGCCUUGUACACACCGCCCGUC